This is a long non-coding RNA of Clarias gariepinus (North African catfish), 1024 nucleotides long. RefSeq lists it as uncharacterized. The transcript has 3 exons. NCBI's taxonomy places the organism in Eukaryota, Metazoa, Chordata, Actinopteri, Siluriformes, Clariidae. The record is from RefSeq and is a predicted model, not a curated record.
GAUUCACACUAUGUUAAUAUGACUAUGAGUAGAACGGGCACCCAGAUGGGUCACACCGCUCAACCUGAUAAUGAACCAAUAUAUGAAAACUGAUGAGCAGAUAUCUGUCCAGGUUUAGGAAGUACACAGCUACACUACCGUUCAAAAGUUUGGGGUCACUUGCAAAUUUCUUUGUUUUUGUUUAGUGAUUUAUUUUCUACAUUUUACAACAAUACUGGGGAUUUCAAAACUAUAAAAUAACACAUAUGGAAUUAGGCAAUUACAUAACAACAACAAAAACAACAGUUAGUUGUUAUUUUAAGACACAGAGGUCAUCCUUUCUGUAAUAGUUCUUGCAAGAACAGUAUUGUCAAGUGCAUUUGCAAAAUCCAUCAAGCACCAUAAUGAAACUGGCUCUCAUAAAGACCAUCCCAGAAGGGCGAGCAGUGUUAUGAAGUCUUUAUAGAACAUAAGUAGCAGAUACAUCUUAUCAUUAACUGUUCAAAUGAGAUUAAUGCUUUUUUGGACGCCUUCAGCAUUCCUUUACAAUGUAGAAAGAAAUAAAAAUCAGGAACGAUCAUGGAGUAAGAAAGUGCCCCCAAACUUUUGAACGGUAGUGUAUUUGAGGAUAAUGAGGGAUUAAUGUUUUCCAGAGGACCCUGAGGAUGUGGAAGAGGAUGUGCAUAUUUGGUUAAUCAUUGACUAAAAUACACAAGGACAUGGAAGAGACAGUGCAUAUUUGGUUUAAAUUUGACUAACUUACACAGAUUAGGCGACAAUUUAAAAAGAAAAAAAGAAUGCAUUCCCACAUUUCUGAAUAACAGCUGUAAAGAAGAUUUUGUAUUUCCUAAGUAUUUCUGUGUUAAUAAUUAAAGUGUGAACAGGAUGCGUUAAAGGAUGUGCAUCUGAUGGAUCAGAAUUAAAUGUUUUUUCUUGUACUUUCUUGUACAAAUAGGAUACAGCUUCAAAAACAUUUAUAUAGUAAAUUGUUGUGAGCUUAAUAAAUUGUAAUUCUUUUUGUAAUUUUAACUGUAUUUAACAUGAA